AUGCAGUCGAACGGAAAGGCUCCUUCGGGAGUGCUCGAGUGGCGAACGGGUGAGUAACACGUGGGUGAUCUGCCCUGCACUUUGGGAUAAGCCUGGGAAACUGGGUCUAAUACCGAAUAUACCCUGCUGAUCGCAUGGUCUGGUGGGGGAAAGCUUUUGCGGUGUGGGAUGGGCCCGCGGCCUAUCAGCUUGUUGGUGGGGUGAUGGCCUACCAAGGCGACGACGGGUAGCCGGCCUGAGAGGGUGUCCGGCCACACUGGGACUGAGAUACGGCCCAGACUCCUACGGGAGGCAGCAGUGGGGAAUAUUGCACAAUGGGCGCAAGCCUGAUGCAGCGACGCCGCGUGAGGGAUGACGGCCUUCGGGUUGUAAACCUCUUUCAGCAUCGACGAAGCGCAAGUGACGGUAGAUGCAGAAGAAGCACCGGCCAACUACGUGCCAGCAGCCGCGGUAAUACGUAGGGUGCGAGCGUUGUCCGGAAUUACUGGGCGUAAAGAGCUCGUAGGUGGUUUGUCGCGUUGUUCGUGAAAACUCACAGCUUAACUGUGGGCGUGCGGGCGAUACGGGCAGACUGGAGUACUGCAGGGGAGACUGGAAUUCCUGGUGUAGCGGUGGAAUGCGCAGAUAUCAGGAGGAACACCGGUGGCGA
This 649-nucleotide ribosomal RNA is filed under the name Mycolicibacterium confluentis. RNAcentral's name for it is "bacterial SSU rRNA". It matches the Rfam family "Bacterial small subunit ribosomal RNA", at positions 55 to 718 of the family's 1533-position model. Lineage: Bacteria; Bacillati; Actinomycetota; Actinomycetes; Mycobacteriales; Mycobacteriaceae. The record is from RNAcentral.